UUGCAAAAGGUGCCCGUUCUC
This 21-nucleotide non-coding RNA is filed under the name Arabidopsis thaliana (thale cress). The record is from RNAcentral. Lineage: Eukaryota; Viridiplantae; Streptophyta; Magnoliopsida; Brassicales; Brassicaceae.